GGAUAUGUUAAUAGCAUAUUCAUUUGACGUUUAGCUGCAGAAGAAGCACCGGCUAACUCCGUGCCAGCAGCCGCGGUAAUACGGAGGGUGCGAGCGUUAAUCGGAAUUACUGGGCGUAAAGCGCAUGCAGGUGGUUUGUUAAGUCAGAUGUGAAAGCCCGGGGCUCAACCUCGGAAUUGCAUUUGAAACUGGCAAACUAGAGUACUGUAGAGGGGGUAGAAUUUCAGGUGUAGCGGUGAAAUGCGUAGAGAUCUGAAGGAAUACCGGUGGCGAAGGCGGCCCCCUGGACAGAUACUGACACUCAGAUGCGAAAGCGUGGGGAGCAAACAGGAUUAGAUACCCUGGUAG
RNAcentral lists this ribosomal RNA (348 nucleotides) under uncultured bacterium. Its description in RNAcentral is "bacterial SSU rRNA". It matches the Rfam family "Bacterial small subunit ribosomal RNA", at positions 446 to 793 of the family's 1533-position model. The record is from RNAcentral.